CCCAAGAGUCCUAUUUUCCAACCUCCUGAUCCCCUGACUCAAACAGAAGCUGGUUCCUAGUCUCAUCCCCUUUGCUGCGGUGGCUGGUUCAGUUAACCCAGCCUUAAGCCCGUCAACGCAAGGCCUUCCCCUGGCCAAAGAGAUUAGCUUAAGGAUAGACAUAUGACCCAAACCGGGCCAUCAAGAUGGGAGAAGUUUUCAGCGGGUUGUGAGAAAGGAGGUUCCUCCCUGGCCUGCGAGACUGACUGGAAGCUAAUCCUCCUCCAUCCAGAUGAAAUUUUCAAGUCACGAGCGAAUCAAUCCUCAGACUGUUUCGGCCAGUCUGUUGGUUCCUUGACUUGCGACGCAAGAUCCCUGAUGGAAUCAAGACUGUCAACUUGAUGAGGUCGGAGGUGGUCUCUCUGGCGGGGUACUUGGCACCCAGAAGGCACCUCAAAAUAUUUAUCGGGUGUAACUGACAAAUUCUUAUGGCUUUUGUGCAAAAACACCGCCUUGGGUUGCGUCCCUCCAGAAGCAGACGCUGAGGUAAGGAUUCGAGUGCCGGGAAAUUGUUGGGCGGUGAU
Long non-coding RNA from Prionailurus viverrinus (fishing cat), 563 nucleotides. RefSeq lists it as uncharacterized. The transcript has 4 exons. The record is from RefSeq and is a predicted model, not a curated record. NCBI's taxonomy places the organism in Eukaryota, Metazoa, Chordata, Mammalia, Carnivora, Felidae.